Molecule: ribosomal RNA, 778 nt
Filed under: uncultured bacterium
Lineage: Bacteria
Description: bacterial SSU rRNA
Rfam family: Bacterial small subunit ribosomal RNA
Source: RNAcentral
CAGAUUCACUUCGGUGAUGACGCUGGGAACGCGAGCGGCGGAUGGGUGAGUAACACGUGGGUAACCUGCCCUAAAGUCUGGGAUACCACUUGGAAACAGGUGCUAAUACCGGAUAACAACAAUAGCUGCAUGGCUAUUGCUUAAAAGGCGGCGAAAGCUGUCGCUAAAGGAUGGACCCGCGGUGCAUUAGCUAGUUGGUAAGGUAAUGGCUUACCAAGGCGACGAUGCAUAGCCGAGUUGAGAGACUGAUCGGCCACAUUGGGACUGAGACACGGCCCAAGCUCCUACGGGAGGCAGCAGUAGGGAAUCUUCCACAAUGGGCGAAAGCCUGAUGGAGCAACGCCGCGUGAGUGAAGAAGGUUUUCGGAUCGUAAAGCUCUGUUGUUGGUGAAGAAGGAUAGAGGUAGUAACUGGCCCCUAUUUGACGGUAAUCAACCAGAAAGUCACGGCUAACUACGUGCCAGCAGCCGCGGUAAUACGUAGGUGGCAAGCGUUGUCCGGAUUUAUUGGGCGUAAAGCGAGCGCAGGCGGAAAGAUAAGUCUGAUGUGAAAGCCCCCGGCUUAACCGAGGAAUUGCAUCGGAAACUGUGUUUCUUGAGUGCAGAAGAGGAGAGUGGAACUCCAUGUGUAGCGGUGGAAUGCGUAGAUAUAUGGAAGAACACCAGUGGCGAAGGCGGCUCUCUGGUCUGUAACUGACGCUGAGGCUCGAAAGCAUGGGUAGCGAACAGGAUUAGAUACCCUGGUAGUCCAUGCCGUAAACGAUGAGUGCUAAGUGUUG